RNAcentral lists this long non-coding RNA (1450 nucleotides) under Rattus norvegicus (Norway rat). RNAcentral describes it as "long non-coding RNA NONRATT008682". The record is from RNAcentral. Lineage: Eukaryota; Metazoa; Chordata; Mammalia; Rodentia; Muridae.
GUUUCAACAGCGCCUUGCAACUCAGGCUCUUUCUUCCUGUUUCCUGAUGUGAAUGCUAUGCUUUGACCAUAUUGUUUUUCUAUAGUUCAAGAGAAAUGGGUUUGCCAUUCGGGUUGGAAAAUCUGAGUGUUCUUAGAUUUGAGCUAGAAAUGAUCCUGCUGGACCACUUGCGAAGCUGGUAGUUGGAUCUGUAGAAAGUGGUGGAUGUCUCUCUCUGGGUGAAGGGAUGGGAGCCUGAAGGAGUCACUAAGGAGAAGAGUAACUUGCAGCACCAGGAGAUGGCUCCCAAAGCUAGAGAAGAGCGCCCUAGCACUCCAUGAGUAGCGUGAGUCUGACUGCGUGGGGCACCCGUGGUCCUUUGGAUGUUGGUUCUUAGUGUUCUUUUCCACUGACCUGGGCUUGUGCUGCUCCUGAGCCAGUAGGGGCUCCAGACCCAAGGAUCCAUUUCCUUGCUGAACAUGAAGCUCCACCCUUUACUUUGUACAUUCCUCCUCAUCCGAGUGAUCAGUUUCCAGCCUGCCCUUUACCCUCUCUCUCCAGGACACCACCUUCUAAGAAGGAAAAAGCAGAGGUUCUUGAAGACCAUACUUUGGGCCUGCUCUGUUUUUCUCUCUUAACCCUGUACAUUAUUUGUGUUCUUCACCCCUUCGGUCCAUGUCCAUCUGCUGAUUUGCAUAAUGAACUGGACAGUGUCCAAGUGGUUCCCUACUAACCCCAGCUCUGGGAGCCUAGCUGUCUUCCUUAUCUCUGGUGCUUCUGACGCCUGUGAGAUGGUCCUGUUAAAAGGAGUAGGAACCAAAAGGAGGAGAGUCCUCCUCAGCAGAGCUCACUUCAACUGGAAUUGAGGUUGCACACUGUGAUUUCACAACCAAAAGCCAAAAGGAGCCGGCCACCCCAGGCCUUGGGCAACCAGCCUUCCUCAGAUAGGCUUGCCCGAAACCAGCAUGAUGCUUCCAAGAGCCCUGCUCUGCCCCUCGUGGCAUGGAUCCUUUCCCUGGUAUGGACUUAAGUCUCUGGGGAAGAAAAGUGGGUGGGGCUACCAGCAUCCCAGUUUGGAAGGUAGAGGAGUUUGCCACCAGCAGCUUAUAAACUGGAAAUGCUGGUCUCUGCCAGCCUCUUCAGCCACCCUCAUUUAUCCCCAAGGAGAUGCGAAAUCCUUCCAGUACCAGGAUGAACAGACAGACCACUGGAAGGGCUGGUGUGCAUGGACUUCGGUUCAGAAGAGAACUUAGAUCUUCCAGGGAACUGCAGUGUCGUGGCGUCUGAUUUGUAUGUCACAUUUGUGUAAAAUGGUAUGUUCUUUAAAAUGGUGUUGAUAACUGGAAUAUUGUAUGUAUGCUUGAAGAUGCUUUGUGUGAACCUAAGACUCACUCAGCUGAUGUUGGAUUGGGGAAAAUCCAAAGCACAACUUCAAAAUAAAAUACAUUUUUAGGUUUCGCUGCUGCAAGUC